UACAGAGGUCCCGAGCGUUGUUCGGAUUCAUUGGGCGUAAAGGGUGCGUAGGCGGCGGGGCAAGUCUGAUGUGAAAUCCCGGGGCUCAACCCUGGAACUGCAUCGGAUACUGCCUUGCUAGAGUACUGGAGAGGAAACUGGAAUUUACGGUGUAGCAGUGAAAUGCGUAGAUAUCGUAAGGAAGACCAGUGGCGAAGGCGAGUUUCUGGACAGUUACUGACGCUGAGGCACGAAGGCCAGGGGAGCAAACGGG
RNAcentral lists this ribosomal RNA (253 nucleotides) under uncultured bacterium. RNAcentral describes it as "partial 16S ribosomal RNA". It matches the Rfam family "Bacterial small subunit ribosomal RNA", at positions 524 to 776 of the family's 1533-position model. The record is from RNAcentral.